Molecule: transfer RNA, 73 nt
Filed under: Apaloderma vittatum (bar-tailed trogon)
Lineage: Eukaryota; Metazoa; Chordata; Aves; Trogoniformes; Trogonidae
Rfam family: tRNA
About the family: Transfer RNA (tRNA) molecules are approximately 80 nucleotides in length. Their secondary structure includes four short double-helical elements and three loops (D, anti-codon, and T loops).
Source: Rfam by way of RNAcentral
GGCUGGUUAGCUCAAUCAGUUGAGCUUGGUGCUGACAACACUAAGGUUUGCGGGUUCGAUUCCCAUUCGGUCC